UACGUAGGGUGCGAGCGUUGUCCGGAAUUAUUGGGCGUAAAGAGCUUGUAGGCGGUUUGUCGCGUCUGCUGUGAAAAUCCGGGGCUCAACCCCGGACUUGCAGUGGGUACGGGCAGACUAGAGUGUGGUAGGGGAGACUGGAAUUCCUGGUGUAGCGGUGAAAUGCGCAGAUAUCAGGAGGAACACCGAUGGCGAAGGCAGGUCGCUGGGACGGUACUGACGCUGAGGCGCGAAAGCGUGGGGAGCAAACAGG
RNAcentral lists this ribosomal RNA (253 nucleotides) under uncultured bacterium. Its description in RNAcentral is "partial 16S ribosomal RNA". It matches the Rfam family "Bacterial small subunit ribosomal RNA", at positions 524 to 776 of the family's 1533-position model. The record is from RNAcentral.